GGCUAAUGAGAGGUUGGAUCCACAUCUUUGAGAGACAAAAAGAAAAAGGAGGGAAGGCAGCAGUCAUCUUUACCAGAAUAAAAGAAAACCCUUUGCAAAACUAAGACUAAAGCUGUGACAUGGCUUCAUUACAUCACUGAAUUCAUUUAGCAACAUUGAGAUUAGAUGCUGCCCAUUUGAAUCUUGGCCCCCAAAGAAGUUUUGAAAUUCUAGCCUGCAGACCAGUGGUCCAUGAGCUUCAAUCAGGUGGUGUGGGUUGUCUGAAGAACACCUGGCAUAGCUAAUGUGAAAGGCAGACAUGGUGAAUUAAUUAAAAAAAAUUGUAUAUUUGUAGCUGCUUUUAUUUCUUAUGUUGUGUUUUAUUAUCUGUUGUAUUUUAUAUUAUGUGUAGUUCAAGUUGUAAUACAAUAAAAUAUAUAAGAAAUAAGAUCAGCAAGAAAAAUACAAUUAAAAAACAUACAACAUAUAGGAGAAUACAUUAUAAGUCAUACAAAAGGCAGAAAAAUCUUCCAAGUGGUCCACCAAGACUCUCAGCAAUUUUCCAGUGUUCUUGGGGGUUGGGAACCACUGUUAUAUAUAACAUUCAACACCAGUUGCAUUAGGUGCACUUCAGAAUAAAGACAUAAUCCAAUCUUGAAUGAAUGAAUCUUUAUUUGUGUCAGCCAUCGGCCAUAGCAACAAAACAACAACACGAUAUACAAAGAACAGAAAUAAAAAGUCAAUUAUAUAAAACACACUUUAGGGUCCUGAAUCAACAUUCAAAUAGUGAAUCUUAUUCUGAUUGCCCCACCUAAAAACCUUGCAACCUUUUGUGUCACCUGCUCAUCUUGAUCUGCCAAGAGAAAGGACAAGGUGGCAGUGGUUGGGCGACCCGGAAUGGACAAUAAAAGAGGGGUGAUAAUCUCAUUUCUCAAGUCUUUAUAAAGAAUGCAAGCCAGAAGGGCAUGCGCCACCAAUUUGGUACUGCCCUCUCCACAGGGGCAAAUAUGUUUUUUGUGUGGAAUCUGUUGGAAUCGUCCCUCAAGUGCAACCAAGGGCAAUACAUUCAAUAUUGCGAGGGUAAAAUAUGUCUAUAUUUUAGAAUUGCUAGAUUAUGCAGAUAGGGUGCCAGAGAGUCAAAAUGGGAAGGUGGAAAAUAGGCAUACCAUGGGCAAAAUGUCCUUAUUGUGGCCAAGUUGUUCUGAUGCUUGAUUUCAUUUAGGCCAGGGGGUUUAGCUUGGAACACUUCCAGGACAGAUGGUAUAUGUUUACCAUCUUUAGUGUGGGGAAAGAGUGUCAGAAUUUUGGUGCUUUGGGAAGCUUUUUCUUUUGCACAUAAUACAAUCUUUGUUUAAGGGACAGAAUCCAAUUUUGAGAAAUAAAGUAGUCCAGGAGAACACAAUAAAGGUAACAUCAUCAUGGCCCAGCUUUCAGUGAAAAAAGAGGCUAUGAGGACAAGCAGAUGAUAUGAUAGAGGGUGUAGACUUAUUCGAAAUAAAGGCAAACACUUGGGUAUUGCCAUCCCUCCUCAAAAUCAUCAUUUCAUUCAACACACACACACACACACACACCAGGAAUGCAAACAUUUGGAAAGAAAAUUCUAACCUAAAAAUGGAAUUUCCCUUUCACUGGGGUCAUUUUGAAUAAAGGGUUUAUAAAAACAAGGCCCAAUGACAAAUGCCACAACAAAACAAUGGCUAACUAUUUCUUGGAGUCAGCAUCCAUAAAACAAUAAUUUUGAACACUUCUAUAUAAUUAAAACAUUCAAAGUGCUUCCCAUAACAGUAACAUAGCUGUCAAGUUUUCCCUUUUCUUGCGAGGAAGCCUAUUCCGCAUAAGGGAAUUUCUCUUUAAAAAAGGGAGAACUUGACAGCUAUGAACAGUAAACUAGUUUGAGUGCCAUAUUGCAAAUGGUUGAAGCUAACUGGAGGCUAGUCCUCAAAUACAUUUGUUAGUAUUUAAGACACCCCAAAACUCUUCAAUCUUUUGGCUUGCCAGGUGGCUCUGUGGGUUAAACCACUGAGCCUAGGGCUUGCUGAUCAGAAGGUCGGCGGUUCGAAUCCCUGUGACGGGGUGAGCUCCCGUUGCUCGGUCCCAGCUCCUGCCAACCUAGCAGUUCGAAAGCACAUCAAAGUGCAAGUAGAUAAAUAGGAACCGCUACAGCGGGAAGGUAAACGGCGUUUCCAUGUGCUGCUCUGGUUCACCAGAAGCGGCUUUGUCAUGCUGGCCACAUGACCUGGAAGCUAUACGCCGGCUCCCUUGGCCAAUAAUGCGAGAUGAGCACGCAACCCCAGAGUCGGUCACGACUGGACCUAAUGGUCAGGGGUCCCUUUACCUUUAAGGCCACCAAGUGAGUGGUAAGACUGCAAGUAGGGAGUUUCCAGCCCACACUGAGCUACUGCAGGACACCAGCUCUUUGAACUUUUAUU
This is a non-coding RNA of Zootoca vivipara (common lizard), 2408 nucleotides long. Lineage: Eukaryota; Metazoa; Chordata; Lepidosauria; Squamata; Lacertidae. The record is from RefSeq and is a predicted model, not a curated record.